GACGAACGCUGGCGGCGUGCUUAACACAUGCAAGUCGAGCGGUAAGGCCCUUUCGGGGGUACACGAGCGGCGAACGGGUGAGUAACACGUGGGUGACCUGCCCUCAGCUCUGGGAUAAGCCCUGGGAAACCGGGUCGUAAUACCGGAUAUGACUCCAUGACGCAUGUUGUGGGGUGGAAAGCCUUGUGCGGCUGAGGAUGGGCCCG
Molecule: ribosomal RNA, 206 nt
Filed under: uncultured bacterium
Lineage: Bacteria
Description: partial 16S ribosomal RNA
Rfam family: Bacterial small subunit ribosomal RNA
Source: RNAcentral